UAUAAAUCCAGCUUAGAGGUUACUAGCCGCUCCUCGAUGGUAAAGCCAGGUCUAGAGACACUCCAUGUGUCGAUUGGGGCCAGGGAUAGUAUUGGGAUUUUGCUGGGUUACCACGCUCCCCACGACCCAGCCACUUCCCUUCUGGAGCUGGCCGACUUCGUCUCCACGGCACUGUUGGGAUCCCCGAGGCUUCUGGUCUUGGGUGGUUUCAACGUGCACACUGGGACAGAGACUUCUGGGCCAGCUCUUGAGUUCUUGGAAACCAUGGCUUCCUUGAACAUGUCCCAACAUAUCAACGCCCCCACCCACGUGGGUGGCCACACGUUGGACCUGGUAUUUUCCUCUAGUUGGAGCGAGUGUGAUCUGAUGGUGACGGACCUUGUGUCAGUCCCCUUGUCAUGGUUAGAUCACGACCUAAUAAAAUGUAACCUCACAGUGGCUCGCCCCCCUCGCAGGGAGCAAGGACCUAUUUCCAUGGUCCACCCUCGAAGACUACUGGAUCCUCUUGGAUUCCAGGAUGUCAUGAGAGGGAUUACGGCAGACCUGGCUAGCGCUCCUGUCGAUGCUCUAGUGGACAGCUGGUCCAUUGCUGCCACCAGGGCCAUAGACAUGAUUGCGCCUAAAUGCCCUCUCCUCCGUAGAGCUUGGCCUGCGCCCUGGUUUAACCAGAACAUUCGAGCAAUAUGGUUAGAUCACGACCUAAUAAAAUGUAACCUCACAGUGGCUCUCCCCCCUCGCAGGGAGCAGGGACCUAUUUCCAUGGUCUGCCCUCGAAGACUACUGGAUCCUGUUGGAUUCCAGGAUGUCAUGAGAGGGAUUACGGCAGACCUGGCUAGCGCUCCUGUCGAUGCUCUAGUGGACAGCUGGUCCAUUGCUGCCACCAGGGCCAUAGACAUGAUUGCGCCUAAACACCCUCGCCUCCGUAGAGCUUGGCCUGCGCCCUGGUUUAACCAGGACUUUCAAGCAAUGAAGUGAAUAAGGAGAAGGCUAGAGCGUAGAUGGAAGAAGAACCUGACGGAUCAUAAUUGGAUAGCUGUUAAGGUCGCAACUAACCUCUACCUGAAUAAGGUAAAGGCUGCAUGUCGAUCAUUCUUCGCUAACUGGAUAAGCGAAGCAUCA
This 1119-nucleotide long non-coding RNA is filed under the name Pogona vitticeps (central bearded dragon). Its description in RNAcentral is "lncRNA (ENSPVIG00000014265.1)". Lineage: Eukaryota; Metazoa; Chordata; Lepidosauria; Squamata; Agamidae. The record is from RNAcentral.